UAUUGCACAAUGGGGGGAACCCUGAUGCAGCGACGCCGCGUGGGCGAUGGAGUGCUUCGGCAUGUAAAGCCCUAUCAGCAGGGAAGAAAAUGACGGUACCUGACUAAGAAGCCCCGGCUAAAUACGUGCCAGCAGCCGCGGUAAUACGUAGGGGGCAAGCGUUAUCCGGAUUUACUGGGUGUAAAGGGAGCGUAGACGGCCAGACAAGUCAGAAGUGAAAGCCCAGGGCUCAACCCUGGGACUGCUUUUGAAACUGCCGGGCUGGAGUGCAGGAGAGGUAAGCGGAAUUCCUAGUGUAGCGGUGAAAUGCGUAGAUAUUAGGAGGAACACCAGUGGCGAAGGCGGCUUACUGGACUGUAACUGACGUUGAGGCUCGAAAGCGUGGGGAGCAAACAGG
Molecule: ribosomal RNA, 397 nt
Filed under: uncultured bacterium
Lineage: Bacteria
Description: bacterial SSU rRNA
Rfam family: Bacterial small subunit ribosomal RNA
Source: RNAcentral